GCUCCUCUGAUCCUUUGCCAACUUUUUAAUGCUCCCGUGUGGGCCCUCGCUCCACCCUGCUAUUCUGCAUUCUCCGGGAUUCACACCAACCACCGAGUCACUCCCAGUGAGAGAAUCUUCGUUCCUCAAUUGAAGACGCAGAGCUUACUCACAGUUUUGACCCUUCUUGGUGGGAGCUGCAGAGCAGAGCUGCUUCUAUUCAGCAGCUGCUCCCCCAGUGCUAUGAUUUUAAUGUGUCCCCUCCAAAGUUCUUGUUAAAGCUUAAUCCUCAUUGUGGUGGCAUUGAGAGUUGUGGCAGAGUUUGGAUGGACCAAAGACCUUAACAGACACCUCACCAAAGAAGAUGUGCAGAUGACAUAGAAAAAGACACUCCGCAUCAUAUGUCAUCAAGGAAAUGCAAAGGGAAACAAUAAUGAGGUCCCGCUACACACCUAUUAGAAUGGCCAAAAUCUAGAAUACUGAGAGCAUCGAAUGCUGGUAAGGAUAUGGAGCAACAGGAAUUCUCAUUCAGUCCUGCUGGGAAUGAGAAUAGUAUAGUCAGUUUCGAAGACAUUUUAGUAGUUUUUAAAAAACUAAACGUACUCUUAUGAUAUGAUCCAGCAAUCACACUUUUGGUAAUUGCCCAAAAGAAUUGAAAACUUACAUUUUCACAUAAGUACACAAAAAUUUGUACCAAGAUAUUUAUUGAUGUGUACACACAAGUACACAGAAACUUGUACACAGAUAUUUAUAGAGGCUUUAUUCAUAGUUGCCAAGAUAUCCUUCACUAUGUGACUGGAUAAAUAAACUGAUACAUACAGAUAAGAUAAUACCGUUUAGCAUUAAAAAGAAAUGAACUAUCAAAAAUGAAAAGACAUGGAGGAAACUUAAAUGUGUAUUAUUAAGUGAAAGAAGCCAAUCUGAAAAAGGUACAUAGUGUAUAAUUCCAAAUAUAAGACAUUCUGGAAAAAGCAAAACUAUGGACACAAUGAAAAGAUCAGUCAAUUGAAAUAAAUAAAUAUGUUUUUAAAAAUCAGUGGUUUCCAGGUAUUAGAGAGAAGAUAGGGAUGAAUCGGCAGAGCACAGAGAACUUUUAAGUCAGGGAAACUUCUUUGUAUAAUAUUCUACAGUGGUACAUGUCAUUAAAAAUUUGUUUAAUCUCACAGAUUGUACAGCAUCAAACGUGAAUGCUAAAAUAAACUGUGGAAUCUUGGGUGAUAAUGAUAUGUCAAUGCAGAUUCAUCAGUUGUAACAUAUGUACCACUCUAGUGGGGAAUGGUUAUAAUGGGGAAGGCUAUGCAUACAUAGGGGCAGAAGGUAAAUGGGAAAUUUCUGUAUCUUCUGUUCAAUUUUGCUGUAAACGUAAAAUUGCUCUAAAAAUAGCCUAAGACUGGUUUUAUAAUAACAGUAGGCCAUUAUUCAUAUUAGCAUUAUCAUUAUAGUCAUGAAUACAGUCUUCUCUUGACUAUAGGGAACACAGUGCUUUUAGAUUUCCUAGCAUCCAUUUAGCUUCCAUUUUAAAAAUAGAACAACACUAAGAACUUCUAUAUUAUAUGCACUAUGAAGCCAUAUAUUGUAGCUCAUUAAUUUAUUUGGUAAUAAAGUGCUAAUUAGUGAUAUAACACUGACUCAAACAAGUUAGCUGAAUGGUUUUAAUAAUCAUAGAACACACCCUGAAUCUCCAUCAGACUUAUUUUAUUCAUUCAGUUGGUCAAAAGAAGAAAUAGAACAAAUGUGAUGAAUGAAAACACAUCCAUAAAUUAUACUAGAAAAAAUAGCUCAAAAUAUAUGUCUAGCAGAGUUAUUCAGUGCUGUUAACUCCAACUUCCUUAUUAGCAUUUCAUUACUACAUAAUACAGUUGAAUUCAAUCCUCGAGCUGGUUUUGCUUUAUUUGAUGGUUAUAUCAGGGAUACAUAUUCUAGUGCAUCCAAUAGGAAGCCACAUUAGCACAUUGGACCUUGAUGAACUUAAUCUAAAAUUAUAAUCUUCAAUAACCUUGUAAUACUACAUAGAAUAUAACUGAGCCAAUAAAACAUACUUAUUUUUGUUUACCUUUCAAUUUACACAUAAGUUAAAUCUACAUUUUAUCUAAUUAAAACCAGAUUGUUGGACUCUCAAAUGCCUUGAGAAAUCUAUCACUUAUUGAAGUGCAUGGCACUUUUAAAACAUAAAUGAAAACUUCAGAGAAUUACAAUUUAUAUUACACAAAUACAACUUCUGUCAAUUCUGUCACAGUCUAAACAUAACCAGCUGCCUCUGCAAUGAUAUCAAGUGGCAAUUAAAAUAGCACCAGUAAUGUUACACUACAGUGAGGUGCAGAAAAUAUUUUGUCUGGUAAAAGCAAGAAUUAUAUUUAGAUGGUUGAGAUUCAUGUUCCAUAUUAAAAGAACAAAUGUUCUGAAAGAUUAGUCUUUGGUGCCAUCAUGUCUAUUUGUGCAUAAUCUUGGACACAGGGUGGCUUGCAUGAGCCAGAUAUCUGUCUUGUUCAACUUUAGUCCGCUAAGCCGUGGUCUCCAAGUAUCUUCUGCAGACCAUUAGUUCAAUGAAAUACUAAUAGGAAUUUUGUCAAAAAAUAAGUUCUAUGAUCACAUAGGAUUUGGAAAUGCUAUGUUAAGCUUGCACAUUUUUCUCUCCAAUGAAUUGUCAACUCUUUAAUGUACUCACAUGCAUUAUGGAUUUUUUAGAGAAAAUGCAUAACUUCCCCCAAAUUAUUUAAUUAUAGAACACAUGCCAGAAUAACCAUUAACUUUUAGAUAAAAUAUAUGUUUGGGACAAGCAAAGUUGGAAAAAAUUGUUUUGUUAUCUGAUAUUUGCUUAAGGCAUCAAAGAAGUUAACACCAGGAAAAAUAAAAAUUUGGUUGGAUUGGUUACAUUUGUUCCACGUCUAAUGUGUU
This 2874-nucleotide long non-coding RNA is filed under the name Homo sapiens (human). RNAcentral describes it as "HSALNT0093473". The record is from RNAcentral. Lineage: Eukaryota; Metazoa; Chordata; Mammalia; Primates; Hominidae.